UGUGCCUCUUGCAGCCGCGAUUGGUGGACUCCAACUUCUCCAAUGGUGUGCUGUGAUGCUUCUCGAAUUGAUGGUCCCUUUCCUUGGUGUGUGAUGCUAAGAGGGAUCUCUAAUGAUGCAGACUGUGUGGUUGGGAGGGUGGCUGUGAAGAAACUCGUAUUCGCGUGUAAGAGAAGGCCCCUCUUAUAAUGCGUGAUUGACUCCCUUAGCGGACUGUGCAUUCUUCCAAGAUGGACUGUCUCCCCUUUCAGGCUGCUGCGUGUUGGUGCUUCUCCAUGAAGAAUGCCGACUACAAUGAAACUUUAGUUUUGUAGUUCGACCAACUUCUAUAUGGUUAAUAAUUGCCUUUCCUCAUCAUUCAAACAGAAGAUAAGGUAACUUAACAUUAAAAAUGCAUUCUUGCAAAGAAACCUUGAGAGGGAUGUUUGCAUGGAGCAACCGUUGAGGUUCAUUGAUUCCACCAAGCAAGGCCAUGUUCUUACUUAAAAAGUCUUUCUAUAGAUUGAAGUAGGCACCUCAUUCUUGGUUCGAUCAACUGUCUUAAUAUCUACUACAACUUGCUUCUAUUAUAACAAAUUUAAUGCUUAAUUAACUCUUUGUCUAUCGCACCAAUGAUAUUACAACUAUUAUUCUCAUAUGCAUGGAUGAUGUUCUUCUCAUAGUGAGUAAUGAUGAUUUUGUUCAAAUUUUAAUUGAACGUCUUGGCUAAGAGUUUGAAUUAAGGAACUUGGAUCACUGAACAAUUUUCUUGGAGUAGAAGUGAAGCCUUUUUUCGAUGAUGUAUUCUUGUCUCAACAGAAGUAUAUGCGUGAUUUGCUUCACAAAAAGCAAAUGCCACUCAAAGACAAAGAAGACCUCUUUGGUUACAUGCAUAGAAUCAUUUUCAGAACUUCAUCUAUGAUUUGUUUAUGAUAUUUGUUUUUUCGAUGGAGCUAAAUGGCAAAAUAAGAUUAGUGCAGCCCCUAGUCCCUGUAGUAUGUUAGAGACCCUUAAAACUACUAAGCACUUUUAGAAUUGAUAUCCAAGUUUUAAAAACUUAUAGAAUUGAUCAAUAUGACAACUGGGCAAACGAUUGAUUGUUCUCAAGGUGAACAGUAGAGAAGAAUAUUCAUUAGCUUAAUUUUUUUUCAUAAAAAUUACCAUGAUUAAUAGAAAUAUAGGAUAAGUCAUCCAGGCUUACUGUCUUCAUGUGUGUCCAUCCAAUAAAAUCAGGUGUUGGAUAAGCACAUACUAAUGGUAGGAUUAAUUGAACCUAAAAAUGUCAACUCCCUAGACUUUAUUGUAUCAACAUCCAAAAUGACAAUUGCAGACCAAGGAGAAGCCCUAAGGGAAAUAUCAAGCUUUGGAGAAAGGUUGUCGUUGUCAAAAUUACCAUAUAAGAAAGUCACUCUUACAAGGUAUGUUUACCAUAUAAUAAACAUGAUUAUUUAAUACGGUUUGGAAUCUGAAAUGUGAUUGCUUGAAACCAUCACUCCUUAAGAGGUUUUAAUUACUUUACCGAAAACCAAAGAUUCACAUUCAACAGUCCUAAAUCUGUAGAAACCUAAAAAUAAUCUUGACCAAAUUUGCAUAAUCUAGGGUUUUGAAUUCACCUUAUGAGAAUUUUAGAUUCCGUUGAGAAUUUGCACCGACCUCAGACUACCCUUUUGAGUCUCUCUCUUUAUGUUGGGAUGUGAAGAACGUGCCUUGGCUACUAGUGUUUGGGAUUAGGGAUUCGGCGAAAAUGAGGUAAUGUAUUUUGUUAUAUAAUAGUGAUUUAUUAUUUAAAUGCAUGUUGUAUUAUAUGCUAAUUGUGCCGUAAAAGAAAAAGUGAAAAUUCAAUAAUUUAUUAUUAUCAUAUGAAUUGCAUAUAUAAUAUAUUGUUUUAUAUGGUAAUGUUACCAUAUAUAAUGAAGUAUUUUAUAUGUUAAUUUAUUGUUCAUAAUAAAUUGAAUGUUAUUAUAUUAAUAUAUUUUUAAGUUUAUUAAUUUUUUAAGCUUAUUUAAUUCUACUUAUUUUUUUAAUAUUAAAAAUAUUUUAUUUUGCAUAUCAUCCAAUAUUGAGUUGAGAAGUUGAGAUUGUUGUGUCUCGAGACCUUUCAAGUUAAUGACUAAUACCGUGACUUUGAACCAUGGUAGACACAGUUAUGCUGUUAAAAUCAUUAGAGAAGUCGAAUAGAAAGAGAAGUUGCAUUGUACAUAGAGAAAUUAAUUUUUCACAUAGAGAGAUAUCAAUAGAACUUGUGUAUACUGUAGUGAGAAAUGAGAGGAAAAAAUGAUUUUUGAGAUGAGCAUUGUUGGGUGUGAAAUUAGAGAAGCUUGGGAUAGAAACAGAAAUGGUGUGAGAGAAGCAACAUAAGCAUUAAAAAGUAUAUAUAUAUACCAAGUACUUCACCAUGUCUAUAAUGCUACCAUACACACAAUUCUCAAAUUAGUUGCCACUACAUAUCUCAAUGCCAAUUUUUCCACUAAAUUUUACCUCCAUCCAAUUCUUUGCACACAGAUGAAUUUAAGAUGCAACGAUACCAACAUGUUUGGACACAACUUAUGCUAACCUCUACUAAAGUUAUGUGAUUGUAUCCAACUUUUCUUCUAGUGAUAUUCAUUGAUUGAUGCAAUUAGCAAUGUGAUUUCCUUUCAAGUAAAGUGAUGUAAUUUUCUUUCCAUUAAAGCUUAUAUUUACUUGUAUAUAUUUUACCUAAACUGGCGAAUGGAAAUAAGUGAGAUCUUAUUUCCACCUAUCUUCUUAUGGGACCUCUCACUAUCGAGUUAACAGAGUAAUAAAAUCCUUUAUAACCACCUUAAAACUAAAAGCAAUGACACAAUAUCAGAAAAUUAGAUAAAGCUGUAGGACUCAUCCCUUGGAACAAAUAAAACCAAGCCAAAUAGCCUAUACCCUAACUUACAUAUGGAUAGCUUUCAUAAUAAGGGGCACAGGAACUCACUAGAAUACAACAUUCCUCACAAGCAUAGACUGAGUGGAACUUGGGCCAACAUUAUUACCUUAUGGUUUUAUUGAAUUCGUUUAAUUAUUGAACUUUUAUAAGUUUAAAUAUUUUAUUAACCAAUGUGAGAACUUGAACCUUCCACUUCAUUUAUUAGAAUUGACCCUUCUUCAUAUAGAAGAUUUUCCAAUUCUUCAACAUCUAACUCUGCUAGUUGAUCGUCAUCAACUACCCAAAAAUCGGUCUCAUCAAUGCAUGCAUAGUCAAUGGGAUCAUAGAUUCUUUUCUUGUUAUAGAACCUAAAAAAAAAAAGCAUAUAAUUAUUCAUAAUUGUGAAUAGAAGAAUUUAAAUUCAAAACAACUAAGAAAUCAUUUAUACCGAUUUUUUAAGCACAAAUUGUAAUGAACGUAUACAAGAUCAUUAAGCCUUUGAUGUUCCAAUCUAUUCCUUCUUUUGGUAUGUAUACGUUCAAAGACACUCCAAUUCCUCUCACAUCCAGAAGACGAUGCGGUUUGGCUCAAUAUUAGAAUGGCUAACUUUUGCAAAUGUGGUGCACUGUAUCCAUGUAGCCUCCACCAUUCAUCUAGUUACCAUUUCACAUUAAAAAUAAGAAAAAAAUAAAACACAUUAGCAAGUUUAAAAUAUUAAAUAGUAAGUAGGUAACCAAUAAAAAAGAAUAAACAUACUCAUAAAUGAAAAUAAUAUUUUACCAGGUUGAAGUACUUCACAUGAAGAAUAAGCAAGGUCUCUUCCAAAACUUCCCAAUUGAUCACGAAAUAACUUCAUUUCAUUCAUUGUUUCAAGCUUGCCUUUCAGAACUUUCUGAUCAAUAACAUCCAUGACACCUCCAAUAACAUUUGGCUUAUUACAAAAGUUUUCCUGAUCAUAUUGGAAACAUGGAUUCAACCAAUAAGCUGUUGAAUGAAUGCUUUUCUUUAGUUGUUGAUCCCAACGUUGCUUUAUGAUCUCUGUAUAAGGCUUGUAUAGUCUUUCGUUGUAGUUAAACAAUUUCUUAAUGCCCAAACGAACCCUAUACAUGUCUUCAUACACAUAUCCCAUCGAAGGCCUCUCAUCACAAUCAACAAUAUGCAAUAAGCGCAUUAGUGGAGACAUAAGAUUCACAACAAUCAAACAAUCAUUCCAAAAUCUAUUAUCCAAGAUUAUGGAAAUUGCAACUUUGCUUUUAUAAUCCUUUGAAUAUCUAAAGUCCACAAAAAACUUACUAGUCACCAAAGCUUGCAAGUCAUGUUUAUGAUUAUGAGGACUCUUGAGUGCAAUGAAUGUAGUAGCAAAGCGAGUUACACCAGGUCGCAAAAUCUCUAUCCAUCCUUCUCUUUUUCUUAACCAACUUAACAAAGCAACAUGAUUAUAAACAAAAAUUGUCACCUUUGAUGCACGUCUUACAAGUUCAGCAACAUGGUCCAUCUUACCAAUAUCCUUAAAGAUCAAAUUAAGACAAUGAGCUGCACAAAGUGACUAAUUAAUGUGUUUAUGCUUCUGAGAAAUCAAUCUCCCUGUGGCCACAUAAUUUGCUGCAUUAUCAGUGACUAUAUGAACUACAUUGAGUGGACCAACCCAUUCAAUCACCUCAUCAAAUAACUGAAACAAAUUAGUUGCAUCAUUGACAAUGUCCGAAGCAUCAACGGAUUUCACAAACGAUAUUCCUUUAGGAUAAUACACAAGGAAGUUGAUGAGUGUUCUUUGUCUAUUAUUUGUCCAACCAUCACCCAUUAUUGUACACCCAACUUUUGCCCAAAUUGCACGAUAAGAGUCCACAAGUAACUGAACUUCCUUCUUGGCAUCCUUUAAAAGAUUAACUCGUAGCUGAUGGUAAUUUGGACUCUUAUAUCCAGGACCAAUUGCAAAUAUAGCAUCCAACAUUGGCUUGAAGUAGAAGGAAUUCACUACAUUAAUAGGAAUGGAUGUAUCAUAAAAGAAUCUCCCAACCGCCAUAUCCGUUCUCCAAAUAGCUUAUUUCCCAACUAGUACACUUCUCAUGGAAGGUUGAGCUCCUUGAGUAUUUCUUGGUGCAAAAUACUUAUCCACUGUUGAUUUUUUCCUUUUUCCACUAUUAGCUGCCAUAGGACUUUGCAUUUCUUGAACCUCUUCUUCACCUUCUGCCAUAUCCCCUUCAAAUUGUGACAUAUUAGGACCAUAAGGAUUUCUACAUUCAUAUGCUUCUUGGGUUGCUUUCUUAGAAUUCCCAAACUCUUGCAAAGAAUUUUUCCAUUCGAAAUAUUACAUCAGGAGGAACCGAUUUACAUGGACCAAUAUCUCAUUUCACUCCAGCAAGAUGUUGUUUCAUUCUAUAAAUACCCCCACCUUUUGUAAUCUUUUUACAAUACAAACAAAUAAGAGCUUUCCUUCCAUUUGCAUAUCUUUCUUCAGAAACAUGCUCCCAUGCAAGAUCGGUCUUACUUCUAGUUGAUUGAGAAUUGGUAGUUGAAUCUUGACCAAAGGAUGGAGUCAUGUUUGAUUCCAUUUUUUAUUUCUUUAUCAACUUAGAAACAAAAAUCUCACAUUAAUGUAGAGAAUGGAAGUCAUCAACAAUUUAAUGAUUUAUAAUCAAGUCAUCAACAAUUUAUAACAAUCACAUAUCAAUGGGUAAAUUUAUCUAAAAGAAUAAUGGUCAUUAUAACAAGCAUGUUUUGAUCCAAUUAUAAAUUUAUCUAAAUUCUAAAGUAAUUUUGUAGAGAUAUAUUGAUGGGAUACAAGGAGCAAACCAUGAGAAUCACGUGCUUGGGCAUUCAUUAAAGUUUGAAAUAUUAAUGAAAUCACAUGCCACUAUGAAUGGAUGAAUCUCACCAUUCAAUUGUCUUAUACUCCUAUGCUUUCUAACAUUUGGAUGGCGACUCCUCUUUAUUUCUUCUUGGCUCAGGUCUCAACCACCCCCACCAUUCCUCUGUUCAACGUUCCACCCAUUCAAUUUCAACCCACUUUAACAAAUGUACAUAUGUUUUCCGCUUUGAGACAAAAUCAAAGCCAUAUAAUUCAACACCCCUCAAACUCCUAACUAGUCACUCCAUGCUUUCAUUUUGGCUUCACACAGAGACUUUAAGAACAUAAAUUAUAGACACACACCUAUUUUUACUUAUCAAUGCAUUAUUUAGUAAGAGGUUUAAGGCUAAUUAACCAUGCAAGGGCACAUGGUUAGACCUAGAAUAGUGAGAGGAAGUGACUGUGGAUGAAUUGAAGGUGGCUUUGGGUAUAAAAGCUAAGGAGGCCAAAGGGAAAACUCACUGGGCAAACUCCAACGUCGGGGCGGGCUACCAGCUGGGAGAGGGGGGGAGCUUUCCAACGUUAGCGAUACCUGUGUGGGUGUCGUGAGCCGCCUGCGGGACCUGUGUGGGUGUCGCAGGUCGUCGGCGGGAUCUGUCUUGGUGUUGCGACAGGGAUGCGUCGACAACGGGCGGAGGAGAGGGGAGGAGCUUUCCAACGCUGGCGAUACCUGUGUAGGUGUCGUGGGCCGCAGGCGGGACCUGUGUGGGUAUCGCAGGCCAUCAGCAGGAUCUGUUUUGGUGUCACAGCUGGGAAGCGUUGACGGCGACAGAGGAGGAAGGGUUGGAGGUUGUAGCCUGUAGAUUUUGAGAUUUUCAUUUUGUUAUAUAGGACUCCAAAACGGCGUCAUUUUGAUGUUGUUUUUUUUAAAAAAUAAAUUAAAAUCAAUUGAACUGGCUGGUUCGUCCAGUUCACCGGUUGGACCGUCGGUUCAGCAGUCCAACCUCGGUUCGAUCCCCAUCCGGUCCAAAUGACCAAAUCGGACCGGAACGGUGACCGGUCGAUGGUCGGACCAGCCGGUCAGGUCCGAUUUUUAAAACAUUCGAAAUAACAACUCCUGAAUUAUUUUUGCAACCAAUUCCCUCCCAUUGACAACAAUUGCCUCCUCUCCAAGAUGAAAGCCGAUUUUUAAAACCUUUGAGACCAUUUUUGAAGUCAAUAAGAGCAUCUUUAUUUUCCCUUAAGCAAUUUCCCAAAAGAAUUUCAUCUUUACAAGUGAAUACUCUUGUUGUUAAACAUAGAAUGAUUGAAAGGAAACUAAGAAUUGAAAAUUUCUCCAUCUGAGAACACCUGUAGAAACAAGUAACAAUAAGUUCCAACACAACAAUAAAAAUAGUGACAAAAUUCGAUAAGCAACGGCAUCAUGAUAUUAGACAAUAAAUAACAUAUUUAAUUUAACUACUCAUUAGUUUAAUAAGAUAAAAAAUGUUAAGUGAACAACAUAGUUGAAGACAUAUCAAGAAAACAUUAUUGUGACUAUCUCACCAAAUGGCAAAUAUGCUCAAUGAUUGCUAUGGAUCAAAACAUUCAAACUACAUAAAUCAACCACAGGGGAAAAAAAAGGCAUUAGGAAUAAACACUAGGAAUAGUGGCAUUAUUACUCAUGAAGUAGGAUUUUACCUAUUAUCUCUUUUUAGGUUGUCCUCAAUCCUUUCGUUGAAGAGAAAUAUAUAGAAGAUAAUUCAAAAAGAAGCCAAGUGGAUGAUAGUGAUGUGGACCUCGCAUUUUUAAUGAUGCGUUCCCACUCGAUCGGCGAGACUCACUUUUCAUUAUUUGGGUGAAAAAUAUGUUUCUCAGAAAAGACUUGGAGUCGCCACUUACUUUUAUUUAUUUUUAAAGGGGAAAACAAGUAAGAACAAAACCCCUGGAUGGACUCCUGAUUUUGUUUUUGGAAAAGCUGUCUGCGAAAAAAACCUAAGUCUGGGUCCGGGGAUCAGGUUACUUAUUGGGAAGGUACGAUAAAGACCGUAGCACCCCUCUAAGCCCCUAAAAAAGGGUCUCUACUAAAUAAGGUGAAGCAAACAUGGCAAUUAACUAGGAGAUCAAUGGAUACCAAAAUGAUCAUAGUUCAAAAAUAAAGUCAUGAUAACGAAAUAAUAAACAAAGUGAGAGUGAGAGUGUACCUUAUUAGCAGGUAAUAAAGCGCUGUCAUGAAAACAAGGUUAGUGUACAAUGACAAGUGUAAAAACAAUCUCAUACAGAACUAAAUUAAAAUCAAACAGAAUGGAGAGCACAACUUACUUGAAUUAUUUUCGAAGAAAAUGUUAUGAAUGUCGGGCCCCCACCAAAGCCCAAUUUAUUUUUGCUAUGAAUUAAUUCUCAUAAAUUCCAUUAUUUUGGAAUUAUGAAAACUUAUUCAUUUCUAAAUAAAAAAAAUUUGAAAAAAGGAAUUUUGAAAAUUAAAUUUGAAAUUUCGGAAGUGUGGAAUUUUAUUUUAUAAAAAAAUGAGUUUGAAAAUUUUGGAAAUCUCUUUGAGAAUGGUAUUUCAAAAUAAAUAAAUAAAAAAAUAAUUUAAAAUAAAAUUAAAUAAAAAAAACGAAUAAAUAAAUAAAUUUUGAAUUUUGGAAAAUGGAAAUUUUGAGAAUGGAAUUUUGAAAAAUUAAAUUAAAAAAAAUUGAAAAUUUGGAAGGAUUAUUUUUUAAAAAUGAAAUUUCGGAAAAUUAAAUUUUAAAAAUUGGAAAUUUGGAAAAUUGGGACUUCGAGAAUGGAAUUUCGGAAAAUUAAACUUAAAAAAUGAAAUUUUGGAAAAUUAUUUCAAAAAUAGAAAUUUUUGGAAAAUUGGAAUUUUUGAAAAUCGAAACGUGAAGAUCAACGUUUUGAAAAUUAUAUUUUUUGAUGUAUGAGAAUAAAAAUAAAAAAAUAAUAAAUAAAAAGAUGGUACGUAGUCGGUGGGACUCGCAUCCCGAAAGUGGCCAUGCAAAGCGUGGUCCUGGGAUGGAAUAUCUUAUAACAUAAUAAUAAUAAUAAUAAUAAUAAUAAUAAUAAUAAUAAUAAUAAAACAAUCUCAACCUCACAUACUUUAAUACUAUUUACACAUGAAAUAUUGAAAACUAACAACUGAAUAUCAGAACAUGAUAAAAUUAAUUAAGGGAAACUAACCCUAAAAUUAUUAAGAGUAUAUACUAACAUGAAACAAUAAAAUAAAUUGACAACUAGGAAUAUUAAAAACCUAAAUUAAUGAGGAACGACCAAACUAAUGCUAGAGAUAAUAAAAAAAAAAAAACAUGAACUAAUUUAGGUUCAAUAAGAAUGCAUAAUUGGAAAAUAAUAAAAACUAACGUCUAAGGAUAUUUAAAUCCCAAACUAAUAAGAGGUAAAUAAAUACUAAAACCUUAAUAUUUAAAGAAAACUAUUGAACAAUAAUGGAUCAACCGAAAUAUCAAUUAAUCAUUCAAAGAGCAAUAUAUGUCAACAUGGAUCAGUUCAACCAAAGACUAAAAAUUCAAGAAGCAAUAUAUACUAACAUGAGUUAUUAAAAUCAACAAUUAAAAACUCCUAGGUAUAUACAAAUUAUCAUAGGCCAUCAAAUUAAAAAACUAAAAAUUCAAAGGACUACAAAGAAUUAACAUGGGUCAACCAAAAUAACAAUUCAUAAUUUUAAUGACAAUGUAAAUUAAUAUAGAUUGACAAAAAAUAAGAAUAAAAAUUUAAUGAGCAAUAUAAAUUAACAUAGAUAUUUAAAAAAAUUAACAACAAAUGAUUUUAUGAAAAUGAAGAAAAAUAAUAAUAAUAAUAACAAUAAAUAAACAAACAAAAUUUCAUGAAUAUUAUAAAGCUACAUAGAUAUUAGUUUUCAUUUUGUUUCAUUUUAAAUUUAUAACAAUGUAAACCAAUAACAUAUGAUCCACCAUAUUCACUUGAAUUUUUAAUUCAAUGAAACAAACCACUAACAUGAAACAUCUCAUGGCCGGCCAUUAAUCUUACUUUGAGUUUUUUAUAUUAAAAAAAAAAAACAAUGCUCAAGCUUCCACUAUUAUUCGAAAUUAGCCAAAAUUAAGAAAAAAAUAAAAAUAAAAUCCUAUUAUUUAAUAAAAUCUAAUUUUCCAUUAUUAUUAAAAUUGAUCAAAACUAAAUUUAUUUUUUUUAAAAAAAAAUUCCAAUUUUCUACUAUUAUUCAAAAUUUGACCAAAACUAAAAUUAAUUAAAAGAGAAAAUUUAUGAGGAAUAAAACAAAAAUUCUUAUGCCGUGAGAUCAAACCGAACACUUAAAAUAAAAUGAUAAACACGCAAUAGCUUAGAACCUAAAAUACAAGAGCCUAUAAAAAUAAUAAACAUUCAUGCAUAUUAUAAUACAAGUCCACACGCAAUGCUAUAUCCACUAUGCAUCAACAAUUCUUUAAACAAUAAAAGUUAGUGGACUUUGAAUGUCAUGAAAUCCCAUAAUAAUUAAUAAACAUUGACAAUGGUCAUUUGACACAUGCUGGAAAACUUUCUUGUGCCUGUUGCCAAAAAAAACUUUAAAACAAGGAUUUUAAAAACACUAUUUGGGCCAGAAAAGUGAAUAAAAUAUAUGGUUUAAUAGUUUUUUUCCUUUCUUUCUUUUUGUUUCCUUUUGACUUUAACAGAGGAGCAAAGUGAAUGGACUGCAUAGAGACGAGCUCUUGCAUGCACUGGUACUCCUCAACCACAGAAGACAAACACCAAUUCUGCAAUUUUCUCAAACAACCCACAAGACAGCCUGUCCGGUGCUUUCCGCGUUUGCACCACAAUAAAACAAUGCCCUUAUUUUCCCUGCCUUAAGAGUAAAGCUUGAAACUGCAGGGAAAAUCACUUCUAAAAACUCUCAAAUUUCCCGCUCCAAUGACAAUGCAAGGAGCAGAAGUUUGCGUUCCGAAACCAAGAAAAAAAACCCCCUAAUUUCCUCUGCGUUUCUCAGCAAAACUCGGUUUGACGCGCAUAGAACUUGAAAUCUACAGAGACACAGUGGAAAAAUCGCCCUGCAACACUCUCGAAUUUCCUAUUCUAACCGCAAUGCAAGAUAGAAAAGCAUGCGUUUGGAAACCAAGGAAAAUAACACCCUGGUUUUCUCUGCGAUUCUCGGGGAAAAAAAUCUAGAAUUUGACGCGUGUACGCAGAGCAUUAAAAAGAGAGAAUGAAAAUUGCAGAGAAAUAGAGUCACACUAGCACCGAGCCAGUCCUCAAGAAUGGCAGUGAGAUCAGCAACAACUAAAUAUAAAAAAUAAUCCAUAAAUCAACAAAGUUCAGCAUGUAACCCAUCUUACCCGCACCCAAAUCAACAAGCAAUGCAAAGCAAAUAAAUGAGAAAAAGAGGACAAGUAUAUUAAUCAAAGUAAGCAAGAAAACUCACAAUCAGCUUACCUACGGCCGCUCCUUUCCUUUGUUAUGCUUUCUCCUAUCCUUCGUUUUUUCUGCUGGUUUUCCUGUCUUCUCUUCCUCUGCAACUCAUUCCUUUUCGAAUCUGUACCUCUUCCCAACCUCCCGACCUUCUCCUCUCAGACCUCCUUCUUUUUUUUUCCUCAGUCUCCCUUUUAUAUCCUCCCUUGAAAACCCCUCAUUUUCAUCUAGAAAAUGGCCCCUGCCUCUUUCCCAUGCAGACUCCUCGAAAACCUCAUUUUUCAGCCGAUUCGUUUCUUCCUCUUCAAGACUUCCUUUCUCUCCAAUUUCCCACAGCCUCUUCGGGAAAUACCCUCCACUUUUUCUUUCUCUUCAAGAAAAAUCCCUUUUUCUACCCUUCCUCUCUUUGUUUUAAAAAUAACAACUUUUUUUAAUCCCCAUGAUUCUUGCUGGCUUUUGACUUUUAAUUUUUUCCAAUAGAAUAUCUUUUUUUUCCUUCUUCUUCUUCUUCUUAUGUAGUCCACCGACUCUCCUUUUCCAUUAUUUAUUUAUUUUUUAUAUAAUAAAAACAAAGUAUAUAAGGCAAUAAAAAAAAAACAUAAUACAAUAAAAAAAAAUGAAAAUAAAAUGACAUAGUAAAAGCAUAAUAUAACUAAAUAAUAAUGGUACUAAGAAUAACAAAGGUGAUGAUAAAAAAAUAAUAAUAAUAAUGAUUAUAAUAAUAAUAAUAAUAAUAAUAUUGAUAAUAAUAAAGACAACUUAUAAUACUGGUACUAAUGAUAAUAUAAGAUCCCUAGUCACUUACGAUUUUCUGAAAAUAAAUAAGUGGAUCAAUGAACAAAUAAAGCAGGAAAAAUAAAUAAAUACCACACGCACAUAACAAUAAUCUAAAUAUUAAACUAAAACACAAAUGAAAAAACUAAAAAUAAAUAAAUAAAUAAAUAAAUAAAAAGAUAAAAUGAAAAUAAAAAUAGAACAUCAAGCUGAUACAAUUAAACAUCGAAAACUCAUCUCAAGCAACCCAAAUAAAAUAAUAAAGAAAUAUCAAGCUGAAUACUCACCUAGUCUCAAAAAUUCAUCAAUCAAGAAACUAAUCUUAAAUAAUUAAGCUUAAAAUAAUAAUAAUAAUAAUAAUAAUAAAAUAAAAAAUAAAAUAAUAAUAAUAAUAAUAAAAUAAAAAAAAUAAAAAAAAAUAAAAAAAAUCCAAGUGACCUGGGUGACCUAAGUGGAAAGUGUCAAGGUGAAUUAGGUGGAAACUAAACCAAGGAGGUGUCCAAGUGAUAAAAAAACAUGCUAAGUGACUUAGGAGUGUACCUACCGGGCCAGGUGUAUCUAAAUGGGCCUAGGGUGCAAAAGUGGGCCUAAGGUGGUGCCCAAUGGGUCAUCAGAGAAUUAUUAUAAAGUAUCAAACGGACACGUAAUAGAACAUGUGCUAGUAGGACAAAAUAGAGGGUCUACAAGUGAUAGUCAAUCCCUUCUUUAAUUUUAGCUAUAUUUUCAAAAUUAGAUUGGACAAAUGGGUCAAUUGUCAACCAAUCCCUUUUGGUUUGGGUGGCCUUUUUUUUGACCAUUUUGGGCUUAAAUAGGUUUAAAACUGGCAAUUACUACUUGAUUAUGAAUUAAUAUUACUUUUAAACUUGAUCCUUGAAAUUUCCAAUACUUCAACAUUUCACUUCAUUAAUAGCCUAAAUAAAUUAUAAAAAAAACAAAAAAAAAACAUCGAUAAAAUUUAAUCACUUAACAAGAUUUGUAAGUCCAAAAUUUUGAUACCAUGUUAUAAGGUAAUAAUUUAGCAUGAUAAUAUAUAUUACCAAACAUUUGGUUUAAUAAGAAUAAACCUAAUCUAAAUUCUCAUAACUAUUUAUUGGGUUGCUACUAUAUAUCAAGAAAAAUCUCAUCAUUAACUAUGCUUUUUAAAAUUAUCUUCUAAGGAAAAAGACUUAAGUUAUUAUCUCUUUAAUAUUUUUGGAAAGGAAAAGGACUCAAUCUAUCAUUUUGGUCCAUAACUUUGACUUUGUGCCUUAUCCACUUGUCCCUUUGAGCAUGACUUUGUUACUGUUGGCAGAUCAGAGGGUUGGUCGCGUCCAUCAACUCCCCUUGUGUUCACCGUGGGCGCUUGGGUGAAUGCACUAUAAGGUUAGGGUAUGCGCCUUUCCUAACAAUAAUUGCUUUUAGGAGAGUUGGUAGCGCCUAAGGUCCUACAAGUGGUAUCAGAGCCGAGGUCACUGGUUCGAACCCCAGGGGUGUCGUUGGGAGGGAGAUUGUUGGCAGAUCGGAGGGUUGACCGCAUCCAUCAACUCCCCUUGUGUUCGCCGUGGGCACUUGGGUGAAUGCACUAUAAGGUUAGGGUAUGCGCCUUUCCUAACAACAAUUGCUUUUAGGAGAGUUGGUAGCACCUGGGGUCCUACAGUUACUACUUAGCUCAUCAAACACAUAGAAAGUUGUAGAGAAAAGUUACAAAGAGUCAUGAAACCACUCUAUCCCCAAAUCAAAAGGAUUUUUUGAAUGAUAUGAGGAACAGAGACAAAAACUCCCACUAUCAUCCAUUAAGUAAUAUAUAAAGGUGUUUUUCAAUAGAUUUCAUGUACAACUACCUCCAAGUAAGUAUGAAGAUAUUACAAAAUAUACACAAGGGAGUUGAUAAGGUAUAAAAAGUUUGUCUCCAAACUCAAUCCAUGACUUAGAUUAUCUAUCCAACUUAUAAUUUACUCAAGUCAUGUGCAAUUCAAGUAGUGCAAAUCAAAAUGCUCAAAUGCAAAUAAGGAUAUAGUGGAAACUAACUUUGUUACACUAUUCCUUACUUUUAAGGGUUCUAUCCAAUAAUUCCAAUUCAUUUCACUUUUUUUCCUCAUCUAUAUAAAUCUCCAAUGAUUAAAAAAUGUAUAAAUUUUUAAAUAAAUUUAAUUGUAAUUGAUUUUAUUUUAUAUUUUUCAUGGUAAACCAAACACCAAAAAAUCAUUUCACUUUUGUUUAAAAAAUAUUUUGAAGAGGGAAGAAGGGGGAUAAAAGGAAAAAAGAAAUUAAAAUAAAAUAAAAUGAUAACAAUAAUAAUAAAUAACAAUACGUGUAUUGAAGUUUUAAAUUUUGUUUAAAAAAUAUUUAUAUUUUUUUUAUAUAUAUUAAAUUGAUCUCAAAUGCAUAUCGUAGAGAGUAGUUUUCAUAAAAAUAUUUAAAGUGAGGGUUCUUUGUUUGUUUGUUUUAUUUUUACUCAAAUUUUAAAACAAGUUAUUUUAUUUAGAACUACUUUUUUAACUUAUCAUAUUUUUUAAGACAAUUUUAAAUUUUUUUUUUAUAUUCUUUUAUGGUAAGAUAUGUAUAUCAUAAGAUAUCAUAUCUCAUUGGAUAAAAAGUACAUGUUUUAAAACAUAUAAUUUCCAAUGAGAUAUAUUAUUCUUGAAUAUACAUAUUUUAUGAACAUAAUAUUGUACGAUAGCAUAUCCAAUGAGAUAUGGUAUUUAAUUUUUGAAAUGAUUAAAAAAGGUAAUAUGAAAUAUAUAUUACUUUCAAUAUUUAAAAUAAAAAUUAUAUCACAUCCAAUAUUUUUUUAUUUUAAAAAAUGAAAUUUCUCUUAUAUUUAGUAAUAUUUGUGAUUAAAAUAUUUUAAAUUUAUAAGUAAUUUUUUUAUUAUGUUAUUAAAUAUAUAAAAAUAAUUCAUAUAUUAUAUAUGAUUAUUAUUUUAUAAAUAUUUUUUAAAAAAUCCUUUUUUAACCAUAAAUUUAAUUUAUAAAAAAAAUUAUUUUGUGAAAUAAGUAUAUAAAAAAAUAAAAAAAUAAAUUUAUCAUAUAUAAGAUAUGCAUAUCAUAUAUCUUAGUAUGAGAUUAAUAUAUUUCAUGUAGAAUUGAAUAAAAGAAAAAAGUGAAUAAUAUAUCUCCCCACUUAUCUUAUCUCAUGUUUGGAUAAGAUAAAUGAUGAAAUAACUUAUCUUAUAAAAGAUCAAUCAAACAUGUUAUAAUAUUUUAUUUUUUAUCCUAUUUGAUGUUAUAUCCGGCCAACCAAACACGACUUUAUUUUCAUUUUUUUUUUCAAUUCUAAACUUUAAUACUGUGAUCAAACUUUUUAUACAAAAUUAAACUAAAUCUAUUUUUGAAAGUUUUAGAUAACUUCUUUUUUUUUUUUUUUUUGAAACUAGUUAAACUACCUUAAUGUAAUAUAAUUUGAAUAAAGAAAUGAAUUAAACAACAUAUAUAAGAAUGAACUAAACUUUUUUUUUUUUUUUUUUUUUUAUGAGUCAAGUGUUUGCUUUAAACUUUUUUUUAGAAUCAAGUUGUUUAAUCCUCUUAUGCAAAACCCAUUUCUUACUCAAUUAUAAGGAACAAUAUGAAAUAAUAAAAUAAGAAUAACCUGCAAAUAAUAAAAUAAGAAUUAACUAUUUUUUUUUUCUUGGGUCAAGUUUUUUACUUUAUUUAAGACAGUUUUUGUUUUAAACUUUGCUUUUACACUCAAUUUGAGUUGAGCUCAAACCAAGGUUUGAAUAAUCCGGUAUAAUCCAAACUUGAUUUAAUAUUUUUUGAUAUUUAUAAUGCAUUUAUGUUAUAUUCAUUUUCUUUUCAUAUUUUUUUAAAAAAUAUUAAAUUAUAUUAUUUCAUAUACUUUUUCAUUUUUUUAGAAAUAUGUACAAAUUUAUUUUUUACUUUUUUUUUGCUAUAUUGAAACUUUUUUUUUUUUAAUUUACUAAUUAAAUUUUCAUAUAAAUAUAUAAAAAAAAAAUGUAAAACAUUAUCAUGGAUUUUGAAUUAUGCAAUUCCAUCAACUUGUUUAUAUAUAUGAAUAUAAGGUAGCAAACCAAUCAAAUAAAUCCUCUAAACAAUCACAAACCCCAAAGAAAAUCCAACAAAAAUAGAAGAAGAAGAAAGAAACCUAGCUAAGUGCUGGAGACAAAGGAAAAAAAUCAUAAGUAUAUUUCAAAUUAAAAGAACUAUUAAUAUUAAUAUUAUUUUGUAGAGAAUCGUAUUAUGUUUUAAUGGGAAGAGUGAAGAGAAAAGGGCUGGGUUCCUUGGCCCAGAAAACCCUUGCAAGCUUAUGACCUGGGUUGGGUUUCAAAAUUGGGCCUUCAUGAAGGAUUCAGCACAGAAGGUUUUGGGCUCACCGAUGAUGCGGGUGUAAGAUAAAUCAUAAUUAAUGUAUGAUUAUUGAUUUAUUUUAUUUUUUUAAGCAAGUUCAAAAUCAUUGAAUUGGAUAGAAAUUUGCUAGCCCCGUUUGGAUUAACAUAAAAUGCUAGGAAAAAUAAAAGUUAGGAAAUAAAUUUAAAUUUUUAAAUUGGAUUUUUCAUGAAAAAUGUGAAAUAAAAUAAAAUGGAAAAUACGAUAAAAUUUAUAAAAAUUUUCAAAGUCUUCUUUCCAUUUUAUAAAAGAGAAAUAAAUUUGAAGAUUUGUUUUAUAGCUCUAAAUGUAAAAAGGGAAUAGAGGUGUUGAAAUGGUAAUAAUAAAAACCUACAAAAGUUUUCAAUAAAGUAAUUUUUUCUAUACCACUGACUUUAAAAAAAUAAUAAGAAGAAAUAUUUGGAACUAAAAUAAAAAAUAUAUAUAUAUUUCCAAUUUUAAAGGUUUAUUUUCAAAUUUGAUAAAUAUAUUUUCAAAGUUUUGCUGCUUUUAAUAUUUUAUUUCUUUAGUAAUAAACAAUUUUUAUGAGAAAACUUGUACAAAGCAAGAAUAAAAAUAUAAAAAAUUUACAAAAUAUUGGUAGUUGGAUUUUAUGAAGAUUUCGAAAAAUAUUAUAUAAAAAAUCCUAAAUAAUUCUGAUGUGAUCAAAAUUGGCCACAACCCAUAACAAGAAAGGAAAAUCCUCAAUUUUCUUUUCAAUCCUAAACUUCAUAUACUCGAAUCGAAUUUUUCAUACAAAGUUAAACUAAAUAUAUUUUUGGAAAUUUUAAUUAACUCUUGUUUUAGAAACCAGUUAAACUACCUUCAUGUAGUACAAUUUAAAUAAAAAAAUGAAUUUACCAUAAAUUAAUGAAACUAUCUUCUCAAAAAUUUAAUAUGACUAAAAUAAAUUUUGUUUUUAUCUAUUUUCUCACUUUUUUUUCAAGAAAAUUUAGAUCUAAAACUUUCCCAUGAAAUGAUAACUCAAAAACCACACCAACAAUAUAAAAGUGGAAUCAAUAUAUAUAAAAUAAAUCCACAAAUUUCAAAAUCAUAAAACCAAAAUUCUAUGUUUUUUAAUAAAAUUUUACCUUAACGAAAUAGUGAUUUUUUUUUUUUUUUGCCUUAAUAACAAAGUUAUUUUUUUAUACAAAAAUAAACUAAAUUUGUUUUUGAAAAUUUUAGAUCACUCUCGUAUAAAAAACUAGUUAAACUACUUCAAUAUUAUACAACUUGAAUAAAUGUGUAUACAAGUGCAUAUAUAUUGUAAAUAUAAAGGAAAAAACGCAAUAUACAACAAAUUUCAUGAAAGAUAGUAGGAUUUAAAGAAUUAAAAUAUGUCAUACCAUAUGAAAACAUUGAAUGCUAGAUUUUUAAAAAGUUCAAUUUAACAAAAUAUAAGUUUAAUAUAAAAUUUCAUCACAAAAUCCAUAAAAACAAACUUCUUAGAAUUUUACAUUUAGGUUUUAGUUCCAAAUUCUACCUAGGCAUAAGUACUUAUAUGUGUUGUUGAUAUAAAUGUCUCUUUGUGCCAUCUCCAAAGUUCCAACUUUUCAUGUUCGUCAUUAUCUCUUCCUCGCCUAAAAAAACCCUAAUAAAUUAAGUAAAAAUUUUUUAUUCACUAAUUACCAUCAUUUUCAUUGUCAAUAUCAAAACCAUCGAAAUGGAAAUUCUCUGAUAUUCAUUAUAAGAAUAAAUUUAUUUAACUUCCACUUUGGCCUUUGACAACAUGAAUAUAGCUUUCAUGUAGGAUUAUCUUUACUCUUUCUCCUAUUAUGAUCAAUUUCUAACCAUUUUGUAUAUAUUUCCUUUAACAAAAUACUUUUGCUAAAAAUUAUGAAAAAUAGCUAAAAGUGUAAAUAUCAUUUUAUCAAGCAUUGGAUGAUGUAUCAUAUAUGUUUCAUAAGAUACACUUAAAAUAAGAUAGGGGUUGCUAAGCGCCUCGUAUCAUGUAUCCUAAGUUUUUAACAACUAUGAUCUAGAUAAAGUUUGAUCCAUAUGCUGAAUGGUGAAGUCAAUGUAAAUAUAACAAAUACAAGAACAUUGAUGCCAAAGGUGACCUCUGAAAUGAAAUACUCACGGGUGGAUAGCAUCAGGAGCACGCCUUGAGCUACUCAGACCAUAUGCAAGAAGAGCCUACAUUGUGAAUAUGUAUUAGUUUCUCUGCAUUCAAUAACUACAAAAUCAACACAAAUGUAAAACAAGAGUAAAAGAUAAGAAUGUCAGGAAGAUGAACAAUCAGACUAACAGGAGUACCUGAUUUGCAAAAUCUGCGGCUGAGUGCACAACUUCAGCCAACAUAACAUGGCUAGAGGUUGUUAACCAGACCCCAAACUUGAGAGAAAAGACGAGGAAGUUACACCAUAAUGCAGUUCUGACUGCUCGUUGGCUAGAAUAAACAUGUUAGGCAGACACAAAAGAAAACAAAAAAGGUCAGAUGGUGAAAAGUGGGAGCUAAAUUUCUGGUCCCUAAUUGCAAAAAAGGCUCAAAAUUCUUGAUAGGUUUGGAUUCAGUGCAGUUCAUUAAUAUGCAGCUUGGAUUGACGUCAUCCACAAUCACUCCACUUCCUAAGAAAGUCACCCAUAAAAUCACACUAGAGGAGAGAAUCAAGAAACAAAGGAAUCAAAAGAACGAAAAGCUUUCUCUUUCAUGACUGCUUGCAUCAACUAGUUAAUUUACUCUUUUCUUGUAUUAAAUCAAAGAUAAUGUUACAGAAGAUUAAGAAUUUCCAAAACCAUAAAUAUACACACUCCUAAAGGUUUUGUAGCCUAUUUCUGUGAACUGGGACAUUCCAACUAACCCCAUUUUCAUUUUCGGGUUGCUAUAAAAUAGUGCCCCAAAAUAAAACAUUCCCAUAAAUCUUGCCUUACUUUCCCAAAACCAAAAUACAUGUACUCCGACUCUUAUUUGCAAGUCAACCACACAAAUGCUCACAUGAUCAAUCAACAAACCAACUUACAGCCCCAAAAAUGGCCAGAAAACAACUCAAUUUACCUGUCCUAUAGUAAGCCCUUAACAUAUUCAUUAUACUAAUUGUAUUUUUAUUAUAAUAUUAUAAAUCAAUAUCAAUUUUAACUUAGUUUUAUGUUGUUUGGUUGUGAAUGAGAAAUUUGCCCGAAAGAAAAUUAAAUUUAUUAGGCAUGACCUAAAAACAAAGAAUAAAAUCCAUUUUAUCCCCUCAACCUUUUGUGUCUCAUACACUUUGUCCCACAUUCAAAAUCCAACACCCUUCAAACUUCUUAAUGGGUAGCACUCAACUUUUUUUUUUUUGGAUAAUUUUUAUUUUCAUUAAAUGGAUGUGCUCCACAUGUGAUGCAAUAAGAGGGUAAAAAUGUCAUUUAAAAGAUAUCCAUGGCCCUAUAAUCUAUUCCUUCAUUUUUCUUUCUUUGAAAACCUUGAAAUCCUCAAGUCUAAAAAAAACACACCUCCUUUUAAUCGAUCUUCCUAUUAUGCUAAGACAAUGAGUCUAGUACAUUAUAUGUUGGCAAUUUUGUUUCAAUAUAUUCUGGCUUAUGAAAAUUUUUAAAUAGUGACUUACUCUUCAUUGAAGAUUCAAGGUUGUUGUUGGUUAAACCAUAAAUCUACAUGUAAGUUUAAAAAUGUUUAUUUAGUGGCAAGUUAAAUGAUUAAAGGGUUAAAGUGGAUUGAUAUUUUUUUUAUAAGCUAAAAAUACUUGAAUUAAUGUUUUGGAAAAAACAAGAGACACUCGAGCAGUGGAACCAACACUCAAGUUCACAAGGCGUUCGAGCGAUGGUUAAGUGCAUUCAAGUGGUUGUCCCAAAUCUGCUAGAAUAUGGUAGAUUUCUUUUCGAAAUUUUAUAAGUAUUCUUUUUUGGAAAUUCUAUAUAUCGAUCCCUUAGGCCUGUAGGCCUAUAUAAACCCUCUAUUAACCCCUUUUAGGGUUAGACACCUUGAAAGAGUUGACCAACUUAACCUAUCAUUCCUAAUCUUUCAAGAAAAAAUUCAUAAUAUUGAAUUUCGGGUUGUUGGAAGAACUUGCAUCCCCUUAGAGGUUGAGAAGAAUCUACUAGAGCAUUAGAGGCGUUAUGUUGUGGAUGUGGAUCAAGGUAUAGGUGCUAGAGAAUAAGUUUUUAAGGUAAAAUGGUCAAGUAAAUCUAUGUACUUUGAUCUGAAAUAGUGGAUUGUAUAUUAAAGGUCUUAGACCUCAUGGUUUUUAUUUCGACAGUUAGUGUUAGGUUUUUCCACAUAAAAAUUAUUAUGUCUCUUGUUUGAUAUUUGAUUACUUUGAUUAUCCCUAAUAUCUUCAAGUUUUAUUUUGGGUUAAUUUUUCAUCGCUUAUAUUGUAUUAUUUAAAAACACCUAUUCCCUCCUCUCCCAUCUCAGGUGUUAUCCUAUUGGACAAAAGGUUUUUCAAUUGGUAUUAAAACAAGCUUUUCUAAAUAAAAACCAUAUUUUUAUUGAUCUUGCAAGUCCAAUAUGGAACAACCAAGGUCUGAAGCUCCCCUAAAUAGUCCACCCUAUUUCGAUGGGAGUAAUUAUCCCAACUAAAAGGCUUGAAUGAUUUUUUGAAAAUGCAAGGAGAAAAGGUCUAGAAUGCAACGAAAUAUGGAUGAAGACUUCAUUGAAACUAGAUGUGAAUGGGAAAUCUAUUGAUGAAUUAAAACCCAAAAAAGAAUGGCAUAAAUUAGAUAAUGAAGAAAGUGAUGCCAAUGCUCAGGUUCUCUUUAGCAUAUUCAAUAAGGUAAGUCAUAAUGAGUUUUGCAAGAUAGCCACUUGUAAAGAUGCUAAAAAAGCCUAGGACAUUCUCCAGGUUACUCAUGAAGGCACUUUAGUUGUGAGGUUGGCUAAAUUGCAAAUGUUAACCUUCAAGUUUGAAAGCAUUAAAAUGCAAGAGAAUCAAACUUUCUUUGCAUUCUAUGCUGAAUUAAGUGACAUUGUGAACUUCUUUUUUUAACUUAAGAGAACAAAUCCCUGACUUUAAAAUAAGUAGAAAAAUCCUGAGAUCCCUUCCUAAAAGGUUUAGACCUAAGGUCACCACAAUAGAGGAAAACAAGGAUACUUACUCUAUGAGGGUUGAUGAACUUGUUGGUUUUUUUCAAAUCUAUGAAAUGACCUUUCUAAACUCUCACAAGCCUAAAGAUUCUACUUUUAAGGAUAAUGAAAUUGAAGAAAAAGAGUCUGAAAAUCAUAAUGAGAUAAUUAGGGAUGAACUAGCGCUCAUGGCUAAACGCAUUAAAUGGGUUUGAAACUUAACAAUAGACCUAAUAAGAACAAGGACUUGGGAAAGGAAAAAAGAUUUGGUAGGUCUUCUAAAGAAAAAGAUAAGGAAGUUACGAAAGAGAAAAAAGGUAAAGUGUUUUAAUUAUGGAGGUUUGGAACAUUUUUCUAUUGACUAUGUCCUAGUCUCAAUGACAUUAAAAAAAAAUUGUGCAGGCUACAUGGAGCGACACUUACUCUGUUGAGAGUGACCCUAUGACUUUUGAAGAUGUAAGGUAUGAGCAAAAUGAUUAUUUAAAUUUUAUUGCAUCUGUUGACUCUAAGCAUGAUACUAAUAGUCAUGAGAGUGAGUAUACUAAUGAAUAGAAUGCUAGUUUUCUUAGAAAUAUUUCCAUUGAAUAUCAAAAACUGAUUGAACAAUAUUUGAAGACUCAUAAUAUUCUUAACUCAUAAAAAGCUAAAAUUGAAUAUUUUUAGUGAAAAAAGACUAAUUAUUUUGCGAAAAUUUGAUUCGUUGAGUUUGAAUAUCAUUCUUUUCUUGAGAAAAACAAUAUUCUAACUUUAAAAAUUGAGACUAAAAAACCAUCAAUAAGGCUUUUCACCUUGGGACUAGUGUUGGAUGAAAUUCUUGAGAAAUGCAAGUCCCAAGGAGAUAAGAAAGGCCUCGACUAUAUUAGCAAAACCAAGACUUCCACAAGUGGAGACAUAGUAUUAGUUAAAGGUAAGGAGGAAACUCCUAACCAAGAAACAUCUUCUAGCACUCUCUCACUAUUCACACACUGUAAGAAGUCUGAAUAUACUCAAAGUAGGUGUCACACUAGAUUUCUUGAGAGCUAUGAGUCUCAAUUGAAUAGGCUUGUGAAUGAGUUUAAAUCUUUAAAGAAUAAUAUUUUGAACACUAUGAGAGGGAAGAAAACCAAUACAGAGCUUAAGACUCAACAAAGCUCCUCUAAGUCACCACCUAAAACAAGUGUGGAUGAGAAAAGAUAGGCUUAAGUGUUGGAUUGUUUUCACAACCCUUAGAGCUAAAGCCCUUAGUGAAGCUCUAGGCAUAUGAUAGGUGAUAAGUCUUUCGUCACCUCUCUUAAGGAUUUUAAUGGAGGAAACAUCACCUUUAGGGAUAGUAGUGCAGCCCGUGUGAGAGGUAAAAGUAGUAUCUCUAUCCCCAUAUGCCUAGAUUUAGAUGGAGUCCUUUAUGCUAAUGAACUUAAGGGUAAUCUUCUUAGCAUUAGCCAAAUUUAUGAUAGUGACUAUAGGGUAAACUUCUUUUGAAGUUUGUGUGAAGUGAUAAACAAGGAAGGAGAAGUCAUUUUCAUUAUGCUUAGAACAGUGGAUAAUUGCUAUGCAAUAAAUUCUAGUUCUAAAACCUCUUUGGUUUGUAGUAGGGCUAAGUUUGAUAUCAUUGAGUCAUGGCAUAGGAGGCUAGAUCACAUAAACUAUAGACACUUGGUCCACAUAACUAACAAAGACCCAGUUAGAGGUAUCCCUAAGUUGAGUAGUCAACCUAAAUCUAUUUGUGGAAAGUGCCUAAAAGGUAAACAAGUAAAAAACUCACACAAAAAUAUUAAAGGGAAUAACACUUCUAGGCCUUUAAGCCUUCUCCACAUGGAUCUCAUGGACCCUAUAUGAAAAUGGAGAGUAAAAGAUGUCAUUGAUUUUUCCAAAUAUUCCUUUGUAAGUUUUCUAAAGGACGAAUUUGAAACAUUGAGCACUUGAAGUCCUUGUGCACUAGAAUUCAGGUGGAAAUAGGUAAUCCUAUUGUUAGGAUUAGGAGUGAUAGUGGGAAAGAGUUUGAAAAUGUAGAAGUUGAUCUCUUUUAUGAAUUAAAUGAGAUUAAACAUAAUAUUUUGCCUUUAGAACUCCUCAACAAAAUGGAGUGGUAGAAAGGAAGAAUUGUGUUCUUUAAGAAAUGACCUGAGUAAUGAUUAACAUGCAUGAUACUUCUAUGCAGUUUUGGACUGAAAUAAUUAACAUGACUUGCUAUACUGCUAAUAAGGUUUUCCUUAGGCAUGGAACAAAGAAAACAUCCUAUAAAUUGUGGAUUGGAACAAAGAAAACAUCAUAUGAAUUAGGGAUUGGCAGUGAGUGCUAUAUUCUCAAGGAUAGAGAAAAACCUAGGUAAAUUUGAUUCUAAGUCUAAUUUGGGUAUUUUCCUAUGUUAUUCCAAUAAAAGUAAAACUUAUAAGGUUUAUAAUUAGAAUACUAAAGUUACCCAAGAAUCUUCAAAUGUAGUCAUCAAUGAUUUUGGAUAUGAUUAGGAAGUCAUUGACUUUGAAAGUUUAACCUAAAAAUCAAUUGGGAAUAACCUCGAAAAAGUUGACUUAGAUGAUAGUCUUAAAAGUAUCCUAAAGAGGCAAUUGACCCCAACAGGGAUGAAAACCACUUGAAAUUGCUAAGUUAGGCAAAGUGGAAAGUAAACAUAAAUCCAGAGUACCCAAAAAUUACCAUAUCUCAAAUGUAAUAGGAAACAUGGAUGAUUCCAUGGUUACAAGGAGACAAUCUAGACAGAAUGAUAUAUAUAUAUAUAUAUAUAUAUUUGUUAUACCUCCUAAUUAGACCUAAAGAAUGUAGAAGAAGCCUUAGGAGAUAAAUCAUGGACUACUACACUAUAGAAAGAAUUAAAUCAAUUUGUUAGGAAGAAUGUGUGGUACUUAGUCCCUAGGCUUAAAGACAAACCUAUAAUAGGCACAAAAUGGAUAUAUAAGAAUAAAAAAGAUGAAAAUGGGUUCAUUGUGAAGAAUAAACUAGGCUAGUAGCCCAAGGAUAUUCCCAAAUUGAGGGGAUUGAUUUUGAGAAAACUUUUGCACCUUUAACUGGGUUAGAAUCUAUUAAAAUCCUCCUAGAUAUUGCAUGCUCAUUGAGAAUGAAACUUUUUCAAAUGGAUGUUAAAAGUGUCUUCCUAAAUGGGAUUCUUAACGAAGAAAUCUAUGUUGAACAAUCUAAGGGCUUUGCAGGUCCUAAACUUCCCAAUUAUGUUUAUUGGUUAAAGAAAACCCUCUUUGGAUUAGAACAAGCUCCUAGAGCUAGGUAUGAGAGGCUUACAACUUACCUUUUGGAAAAAGGGUUUGAGAGAAUGAGAGUUGAUAUAACUUUUUUUCAUUUAUAGGUCUAAGUCUAAAUUAUUAAUGACUCAAAUUUAUGUUGAUGGUAUAGUUUUUAGAGUCACCCUUACCCUUAACUUUGUUGUGGAUAUGAAAAAAGAGUUCGAAAUGAAUAUGGUAGGUGAACUCAAUUUCUUUCAAGGACUACAGAUUAGACAACUUAAAGAUGAUAUCUUUCUAUCUUAGUCUAAAUAUGUUAAGGAGUUAGUAAAGAAAUUUGGACUUGAGUCCACUAAACACUUUAAGAUACCCAUGAGCACCACUACUAAGCUUUGUAAGAACACUUUUGGGAAGGAUGUUGAGAAAAAGCUUUAUAGGAGUAUGAUAGGGAGUUUGUUAUAUCUUACUGCAAGUUGUCAGGGCAUCUCCUUUAGUGUGGGAGUUUGUGCUAGGUACUAAGAAAAUUCCAAAGAGUCACACUUAACUUUUGUUAAAAGAAUCAUUCAUUACAUUAGUGGGACUUUGGAUUAUGGGCUAUGAUGUCCUUAUGAUUCCUCUUGUGUUAUUAUUGGAUAUUUCAAUAUUGAUUGGGUCGAAAAUGUAGAGGAUAGGAAAAACACUUUUGGGGCUUACUUAUUUAUUGGGGAUUGUUUAGUCACUUGGCUAAGUAGAAACAAAAUUUAAUUUCUUUAUCCACCACACAAACGAAAUAUAUGGUCAUAGGAAAUUGUUGUACCUAACUCCUUUGGAUGAAACAGAUGCUCGGUGACUAUGACAUUGAGUAAGGCACUAUGAGUAUCCAUUGUGGCAAUCUAGUGCUAUUAACAUUUCAAAAAUUUUUGUUCUUUAUUCUUGAACUAAAAAUAUAGACAUCUGUCAUCAUUCUAUUAUGGAUUUAGUUGAAGAUAAAGUCAUUUCUCUAGAGUUUGUCUCAAUGAAACAUCAAUUGGCAGAUAUUUUCACUAAACGCUUGGAUUCUCUUAGGUUUGAAUUCCUUAAGAAGUCAUUGGGUAUAUGACUAAUUGACUAAAAGUCAAAAGGGUAUAGACCUAAGGAUUUGUGUUUUUUAUCUAUCUUCUUUCCUUUGGUCAAUCCCAUCUUCCUCUUAGAGCACUGGUCUUAUACCCUUUUUCAUUUGCCUCAUUAGUAAGAAUUUCAAUCUCUCAAGUUUUAAGUCUGAGUGAAAUAUACUAAACCUACAAGGGUUGAUUUUAUUUUCCCUAGAAUUUUUUUAAUUACUUUUGAGGUAAAGAAUCAAGGUAUAUACAAAUCUUUGUAUAGUGGGAUAUCUAAAAGGAAAUAAUUGGCAAGUGAUCCAUGAGGAAUAUUCUUAAGUUUAACUAAUAAAAUAGAAUUUGUUUUUUUCUUUGGAAGUAAUAUCAUGCCUAAUUCUUUUUCAUUCACUUGCCUUGUUUGUCUAAGUUCAGUAUUAUUUUUCCCCAAAGUGUCUUAAGGCAUUCUUGGAUUCUUAGUUAAAAUAAACUAAAAUAUUCUUUCCAAGAUUCUUUCCAAGUUUAUAUACUUUCACUUGCAACAUUUGGAAACACCGUCCUAAGUGGAAUAAGACAACCAUAGUGAAAGUAUGAUUUCCAUAAAUGGUGUACAAUGUGCUUAUUUUCAACUUAUAUGCUUUGAUUGUUAUCAAUAUGAUUUCCAAACUAAGAUCAUGAUUAACCUUGUUCUUUAGAUUUGAAAAUAUCAGUCUUGUUUGGUUGAACUAUGUUUUUUGGGCAUUCAAUUUGUUUUAUUACUUUUCUUUCUAAUUUUGUGAGUUAUUUGAUUUGAAUUUUGCCUUAAGUUGAAUGUUUGACCUGUUUCUAAGGUUUUUACAUGUCUCUAUGUUGUUAGUUGGUUUCUUAAUUUGUUUUAUUAGUUCACUUUUAGCGUUCAUAAUCCUUCUAGAGUUUUUCACAUAGCCUCGAGCGUUUAUCCCAACGCUCAAGCAUUGGCUUCAUUGCUUAAGCGCUCAAGUGGCCUAAGUUGUUUCUAGUGUCGCUUCAUGUGGUUGUAUUACUCAAGUACUCCUUAAGUUACAUCCAAUGCUUGCAUUGCUCAAGUUCUAAUCUUGCAUCCAAUAGCCUGAGCAACUAUUUAAGUCCUUCUAGCCAAGGAUGAAAAUAUCGGUAAUCAUGGAUAUAUCAGUACUUUGAUUUUACGGAUAUAUCAUAAAUAUUGGUGGAUAUUUUUCACAAAUAUUGAUGGAGCAAAAAUUAUUCAAAAUUCAUAAGAAUUCUUGGAAAAACUCCAAAAAAUGAUAAAAUAAGCAAGAAUACACAUUUAAAAGUUAUUUUGUAGGUAUAAUUGACAUAGAUAUGAUCAAGAAGAAAAACAUCGGUAGGCAGAAAUAUAUCGGUAGAUUCGAUACUUGGAUUUUAAGAAUAAUAAAUAUGAAUUUUGGAAGUGUAUAAAGUUAGAAUUGAGUUAAGAAAUAUUUGAUUUUAUUAAAUAAAAACAAUUUAUGCAUAAAUAUAAUACAUAUGUCAUUGCAAUAGUCCUUAGUACCAAAAUGAAGAUCAAUGUGGUUCCAUCAUAUUAUUAGAUGACAGGAGCCCAUCUUGUUGAAGACAAUAUUUAUUUUAAAAUUUUUAAAAUACUUUUAUUAAAACAUGUUUUAUUACAUUUUAAAUGCAAAAUUAAAUUAAUUUAUAUAAAAUAUUUUAUUUGAGAUUUAAUUUCUAAAAUUUUAUUAAAAAUAUGUGAUAACAACUUUUUCUCUUAACAUUAAUUUAUUUAAAUAAUUAAAAUUAUUAAUAAUUUAUCUUAUCAAAUUAAUUUUAAUUUAUAAAAUAUUAGGACUUUCUUAAUUUUUUAUAUUAUAUCAAUUUUUUUGGGUAAAAUUAUAUUUUUAAUAUUUUAAAAUAAAAACAUUUAAAAUUUAAAUAAAAUUGAAAGGAUAAAUGUAAAAAAAAAAAUUAAGAGUGAAGUGAAUUAAGAGUGAAGUGAUAAUAAUUUUUAAAAAUAGGAUUAAUGAGAUAACUAUGAAAAGUGUUGAAAAUAAAAGGAUAAUAUAAAAACAUGGUUGAAAUUUGGACCAUCUAAAAAAUUCAAAUCUAGAAAUUUUCAAAAGAAACCCCAAAAAAUCUCUGAUUUUUCAAAGAUUUUUUUCCGUUCUCCCUCGUGUUGCUCCACUCGUGAUUUUAUCGCCGAUCUAUCGGUUCCAAACCGAUAUAUCGCCGAUAUUUUGACGAUUUUCACGAUAUUUUUCUAACAUUCCUCUCGUUCGAUAAUCAGUGCUCAAAAUCGUUUUGGGGCCAUCCGAUAUCCGAAAUAUCGGCGAAAUAUCGCCGAUAAAAAUCAAAAUUUCAAUCCAUGCUCCUAGCACACCUUUUUUAAUCUAUUUCACUUCUUUAGUUCAUUUGAGCACUUUGGGUUGCUGCUUUUCGGCUUCCAGUGAUCUGUUCAUGACUUGUUUCAUCUUUUCAUCUUCAUAGUAUUGUUUAAGACUGCUUUUUGAGCAUUUCUAAUGGUUUAUUUUCCUCAUAUAUUUUUCUCUAUUUUCGAGCUUUUUUACUUUUAGUUUUUGUAUGAUAGGACGCUAUUGUCUUAGGGAGGUGUCUUCUCUGAAGCCUUACUCUCACGAAGUUGUUCAGGGCAUCCCUAUCUAGGGUCUUUUUGACUUGAAUAAUCUUCCCUUGGAGCAUUUUCACUCUAAGGAGGCUCAAGAUAAAUACUACUCUAUUCUCCGGGGUCAUCGAGUCAAAGUAGAGCUACCCAUUGAUCAUAGAGCCUUUAAGGACACCUCUUUCUUGGUUUCUUCCAUGUUAGGGGCUUGGAAACUCUUACGACUGUUUGAGAGACCUCGUAUCCUCAUUACAUUCAGAUGUUCAAUUCAAACAUCCAUUCAGUAGUUUGUGGUCUCAUAUUUAGUGUUACCAUGUAUGGCUAGACUUUCAUGGUCUCUACUUGAUCUAUCAGGUGUGUUAUGGGCAUGUUUUUUUCUUACUAAUCAGCUAGCUUUUAGUCUUCUUUCCAGAGGUUUAAGCAUUCACUAGAGGUGAGCUUGUCUCUAUUCCUGUUACUUUGUAUGGCGAGUCCUAUCCAUUGUCGACUUACGUUUCCAUUGCUAACUUCACCAAGUUAGCUUGGGUCCUCGCUAUGUUUAUGUCUUAUUCCUUCUACUCCUCCUUCCAUCGUACUCAAAUUUGUCACCUUGUGGCUUGUUUUAUUCAGAACAUUCUCUUUGGGUAGUAGUUCGACAUUGCCUAGGUGAUCCUUAACACCAUGACAUCAUAACCCGAUCCCACCAUGUGCAAUGGAGCUCCCUUAUUCACCCUUCUUAUUACUAUGAUUCUGGAGCACAUCAGUUUCAAUUUCGAUCUUGCUUUGGUAGCUUGGGUGUCUCGCACUCUCAUUACUGCGAGUUCCUAAGUCAAGCACUAUAGCCAUGUGUACGGUCGAUAAUCCCUCUGGCCUCAGCUCAAUCAACCUCCAUUCUACUAACUUCAAUGUCAUAAGAGGUGGCUCAAGAGACUGCAAUAGAGAAGGAGGAGAUUAAGCCAACGGAGUAGGAUUCUCCCAUUUUAAAGGUGGUUUCAAGAUGGGGAAUAGGGCCCUUGUUUUCACCCGUCUCCAAUUUUGGAUCUUUAACAUUUGUUGACCUCAACCCUAAUUAUUUCUUCCAAUCUAUGCCCCAGUGAUUACUACUCAAAAAGUGCUAUUUGAUAGCCUAUAAUUAAUCCUUUUUAACACUUUUGAGUAGUAGUUUAGGCCUUUUAACUCAAUUGGCAUGUUAAGGAUCCUUUAAAGCAAUUUUGAUCACUUUGUGUAAGUUUUGGUGUUUUUGUUAGUAUAUUGAUCACCAAAGCAAGUCAAGAAUGAGGAGAGCUAUGAGGAAUCUUGGGCAAAGCUUAGAAUUCAAUUGCCAAGAGUGAAUCCGGAUUGCAAGGAGAAAAAGCAAAGAGAAUCUGCCAUGAAGCCUAUUCUUGAUGACAGUUGUAGCAGCCACUUUUGGAGCACUUUCUGAAGUCCAAAUGAUGCAUGCUAUAUACCAUUUCAAAGCUCAGGAAGUCAACAAUCCAAUGCUUCAAACGGUGCGCAAUUCGGAGUUGAAACGAAGAAGUUGCAGCCAUUACAAGUCAAUCACUCUAAAGUGUUGCGGAAUCAGCCAUUUGUUGCGAGAAUUUCGCAGCACUUUUGUACAGUAAGGUGUUUCUCCUUCUGACGAUGCACGAACCAUGCCGCGAGAAGGGAGCUGGAAACCUCAAGGUGGAAGCCAACUUCGCAGCCCUGUGAAGAUAGCUCGGUCUUGCAAAAUAAUUUCGCAGCCCUCUUGGGUGUCUGCGAAAUUUCGCAGACACCACUUUUCUCCUGCAAAAUGGUUCCUGAAGCCUUCCGAAAGUUGCUACCGACAUUGGGAGAUAUUUUCCAUUAGAUUUUUGUUGUCUAAAUCCCAAAAUACUCCUUGUAAACCACCAAUUACAUGAUUCCUUAGUUUUUAAGUUAGUAAAAAGACCAAAUAUCUUUGUAAUAAUUAGUUUUAUAUUGGUUUGAUAUAUAUGCCUCUCGGGAGCCUAUUCUCGGGGAGGAGUUCCUUCUGUAAACGUUUGGUAAGCUAGUAAAGUCUAUUUUCUUUCUACUGCCUUACCUUCUCACUUUGUAUUUUCAUUUUAUUUCUAAGUUAUGAAUUCUCUGAGGAGUUUUCCCCAGAGAAUGAGUAACUAAACCUCCAAUUCCUUGGAGCUAAGGUUGCCGGGGAAGGUUCCAAGUGCAAGAAUGCAAAGCUCUGUGGUUUUAGCUAGUAAUGAAGAGGAAGUGAAAACCUUUAGUGAUUUCAAUGUUUUUAGUUAACUUAAAACACCUUGGAGUCACCUGGGCCAACACUUGGUAAGGCAAGUGAUUUCCAACCAUGGAAAUGCACUAGUUUACCCCUUGCGAGCCUCUGGUAGGUGACUUCAAGGUAGGAUUUUCUGGAAUUACCAACACUUGGUAAGCUUUUGGACUCCUAGGAGACAUCCAUUAGUUAUCUCUUGCGAGUUUGUGAAGGGAAGUCCAAGGUUAAAGAUCACCUUGAAUGGUAAGUGCUCGUGAGAGGCAUGAACCAUUGCAAAUUGCAUCAGUGAGAGAAUUAAAGUGAAAUCUAAUUGAAGGAGUCUCUGUACAUCACCGGUUAGAGAAUUGACUAUAAGUUGAAUCUCUAAUGCGAGGAAAUGAACCAACUGACCAGAGCCGUGUCUUUUGCAUGAGGAACCACCCCAGUGAACCUAAAUCUCCAAGGAAUGUUUUUCUUCCUAAAUUAUUCCAAACUUCUGUUAAGUUAGUUAGUUUAAGUCUCAACCUUUACCAAUCAAAAUUUUGUGUUUUAUUUCUUAAGUUAACCGUGAAAUGAAACAAGACCAAUUCACUUGGAAUUGGUAUCCUUGAUUGCUUGUUAGUCAUUCCCAGUGAACGACCCUAGAGCCACUAUACUAUAGUAGCUUUGUAUUUGCUACCCUAGUGUAUGGUGUUAUAGGUAUAAAUUUUGUUGAUCACUUUCUCAAUCAAGGAGCACCAGCUGAACACAAAUCAGCUGAGACACCAAUUGGGCACGAGUCACCCCAUUACAAGCAUUUUUUGUUAUCUCCUUAUCUCCAUUUUAUGGUGGGCUUGGUCUAGCACAAAUAGGUUGGUGAGUUAGUUAAGGUUUGUCUUGGAGGCCUGAAUAGACCAGACAUGAGCCUAGUUUUUUAUAACACCUACUAGUGGUGGGCCUUUGGCUCUUCUAAUGUAAGCUCCAAGGCUUCAUUGACAUAACAAAUGAUCAGGCAAAACCAUUUUACAUUUUUUAUUGUUAGCUAUUAUAUUUUUACUUUUAACCAUAAGUAAGGACAAAGGGGCUAGGUUCCUUAGCCUAAAAAACCCUUGUAUUCAAGCUUAUGACCUAGGCUCGGGUUUCAAAAUUGGGCCUUCCAACCAAGAAGAAUUUGGGCUUAGGGCGUUAGAUAAAUCAUAAUUAAUGUAUGAUUGUUGAUUUAUUUCUUUUAAGCAAGUUCAAAAUCAUUGAAUGUGAAAGAAAUUUAUUAGACUUGUGUGGAUUAACAGAAAAUGUUAGGAAAAAUAAAAGUGAAGAAAUGAAUUUAAAUUUUUAAAUUGGAUUUUUCAUGAAAAAUGUGAAGAAAAAUAAUAAAAUAUAAUAUAAAUACCAUAAAAAUUUUCAAUUUUCAAAGUUUUCGUUCCUUUUAUAAAAGAAAUAAAUAAAUUUGGAGAUUUGUUUUAUAGCUCUAAAUGUGAAAAGGGAAUAGAGGUGUUGAAAUGGUAAUCAAUAAAAACCUACAAAAUUUUCAAUAAAGUAAUUUACAAAAUAAGAAUAAAAAUAUAAAAAAUUUACAAAAUAUUGGUAGUUUGAUUUUAUGAAAAUAUCGAAAAAUAUUAUAUAAAAAUUCCUAAAAAAUUUUGAUGCAAUCAAAAUUGGCCAAAACCCAUAACAAGAAAGGAAAACCCACCUUUUUCUUUUCAAUCCUAAACUUCAAAUACUCAAAUUCAAUUUUUCACACAAAAUUAAACUAAAUAUAUUUUUAGAAAAUUUAAAUAACUCUUGUUUUAGAAACUAGUUAAACUACCUUCAUGUAGUAUAAUUUAAAUUAAAAAAAUGAAUUUACCAUAAAUUAAUUAAAUUAUCAUUCUCAAAAAUUUAAUAUGACUAAAAUAAAUUUUGUUUUUUUUUUCUAUUUUUUCCCUUCUUUUUCAAGAAAAUUUAGAUCUAAAACUUUCCCAUGAAAUGAUAACUCAUAAACCACACCAACAAUACAAAAGUGGAAUCAAUAUAUAUAAAAUAAAUCCACAAAUUUCAAAAUCAUAAAACCAAAAUUCUAUCAUAUUUAACUACUAUUUUGAACUCUAAUUUCAAGGUUUUUAAUAAAAUCUUACCUCAAUGAAAUAGUGAUUUUUUUAAUUUUUUUUUCUUUAAUAAAAAAGUUGUUUUUUCCUCAGUUAUCUUUUUCCAUCUUCAACUUUAUUAUAAUACUCAAAUCUAAUUUUUUUUAUACAAAAUUAAACUAAAUUUAUUUUUGAAAAUUUUAUAUCACUUUUGUAUAAAAAAACUACUUAAACUACUUUAAUAUUAUAUAACUUGAAUAAAAAAAAUGAAUUUAUAAUUAACAAAGAUAUAAUAAAAAUAAAUAAAUAUGACUUAAAUAAAUUUUAUUUUUAUUUAUAUUUAUUGACAAAACCAUAACCUUUCAAUAGCCUGAUUGUGCUGGACCAAGCCCAUCUUAAAGUGGGAGUGUAACAGUAAGGAGAUAAUAAGAAAUGCCUGCUACUCGACCAAUAAGGAUAUAAUAAGAAAAAUUAUUGGUCUUUGACACUACUUUGAAAGUUUAUUUUGGGUUUUUUUUAGUCCUUUUUAGAGUGUAGGAUCAGUUAAAAUUUUUUUUUGCAUGGAUUGAAUCUUUGUUGUGCUCUUAAUUCAUGCAAGAGAAUGACAUCUUGUGGGAUGAGAAUUCUUUGAUCCCUAAAUUUUUUAUAUCACAAGCAACCAACAAACAAAUUCCAUACACCAAUGUUUUAAAAAUGUGACCAACCAAUCAAAUUAGUUGGCUCUACUUGGUUUGGAUACGAUCUUGACGAUUGGUAAAUUGGUGGAACCAACUAGGUUUGGAACCAGUCUUGAUUUUUUUCCAUUUAGGUUAGACAAAAAUUUUGGAAAAAAUCAAUAAAUAGAGAUGAUGUUGAAAUUUUAAUAAAAUUUAUCAUUUAUAUUUAUGUUCAACUAUUUUUCGUUAUGAUAUAGUUAUAGAAUGUAGUUGCAAACUAGAAGAAUAUAGUUGGAGGAAUGGUGUAUGCUCUAGUGGAUGGUGUCUCAAACUCAAUUCCCAUGGAUAGAGAAGUAAGAGUUAGAGACACAACAAAUGGAAUUGGCACUAAAACGGGUUUUGAAUUUGAUUGAGAAAUAACUAAUCUCAUGAUAGAUAAAGGAACGACUGUGCUAAGAAGAAAUUGGGUUUUGUUGCUGUUCUUUGUAGGUUGAUGAGUUCUUUGGUCUAACAUGUGUGAUUUUCUCACUUUUGAAACUUCAUUUUUGGUUUUGAUCCAUUUUAGAGAAGAUAUGUGAGACAAUCCAAAAUGGGGUUACAUUGUCUCUUGCUUUUGGCUGUUGUUAUCAUUUGUUGCAUUCAUAUGGUAGAAUGAUGAUUGUUAACUAAAACUUCUAUGACCAAGUUUGAAUUUGAUACAUGGGUGGAGCUUAUUUGUUUAAAUAUUCAUGUUUUGGUGAAUACAAGUCAUUUUAAUUGAGCAAAAAAUACAUAUAAUGUAGAAGAUGGAUAAAAUUAAGUUAUAUACUUAUAGAAAAUUAAGAUUUUAAGACUCUUCAAUUUAAUAAAAGUUUUUUUGUACUAAGGAUUAUGGGUUAUGCAUUCAAUUUUGGGUAGAAGGAAAAUACUAUCCAAACAAGGCCUACAUAUAAUCUAGAGCUUUCCCAUCCCUAGGAAGCUUAGGGAAUGGAUUAGAUUAAAUAAGUUAGCUCAAAAGUGAUGUAAAAUGUGGGUAUGUUGUAUAAAAACACACAUAUAUAUAUAUAUUUUCUUCUUGUUUUUCACCAUUCAAAAAGUUAUGAUUUGCUUAAUUUGAUUGAAAAAAAAAAAUCAUACUACUUUUUUUUUUUCCCAAUUAUAAAUUUUAGCCACUUUUUGUGAAAAUUAACCAAAAUUCUGUAGACACCAAAAAGAGGGGAAAAUGUCAUAGAUUUAGGUUAAUAAAGAAAUAUAGUUGGGAUAAAUAAUUAAAAUAUCUUACAUUGGACGAUCAUCAUAUCCCACUCAAAUUUAAUAAGGUAGUGGAAACAUAACUAAUAAAUAUAUUUUCAAAGAGAAUUUGAAAAUUUGAAAUUGGGAAUUUCUUCUAUUCAUUUUUAAUAAUUUUUAGGGGCUACUAUAAAUUUUAUCCACAAAGGGAUAACGUACUCUUUUUUUAGUAGUUAAACAAGCUAUAACCUUUGAGAAUCACUAUUGAUCUUAAUAAAGGUCCUUUUUAUAUUAAGAAAUUUCUCUUUGAAUAAAUUAAAAGAGAAAUUUUGCCUUUUAUUGCAAUUGUAAUGACAUUCACUUUCAAAGCUUGUAAUUAUACAUAGAGCAUAUAAAGAUCUACAAACAAAAUUUAUUACCUUCGCAGGUGAUCUUUGGCAUAGGUUGCUCUUCCUCUCAACAACCAUUUGACAAUUUUAUCCACAAAAUCAAAGUAGGUCUCACUCCAAGAUUUCCUUGUUGCCAAAACAAAAUAUGGAACUAAAAUACCCAUCGCAAAUCCCAAGCCAACACUCAAGUAAAACCAUUGAUCAAUAUAGCCACCAUCAUUUUUGUCCUCAAUAACACUACACUUUUUAUCUAGAUCUUCAUCUUGGCAUUUUGUGACCAAUGGAGCUCCACAAAGAUUAGGGUUUCCAACAAAGGCUAACUCAUUGAAGGUUGUCAUUUGCCCUAUAAAGGGGAUCUUACCAGAGAAAUUAUUAUUCGAUAGAUUCAAAUAACUCAAGAAUGUUAAUGAAACCAUGCUUGAAGGAAUGCUGCCGGAAAGCUUAUUCCUUGACAAAUCAAGAGAUAAUAAUUGGUGCAACAUUGAAAUGUUUUCAGGAAUUUGGCCACUGAUGUGAUUCCCAGACAAGUUCAAAACCACCAAACCAAACAAUCUUGUUAUUUCUUGGGGAAGCUCUCCACUUAAAUUAUUGUCGGAUAGGUCUAUGCCUACAACCAGAGAAAGAGUCCUGGUGUAUUCAAGACUUUGACCUUUCAUAAUCACCACCAAUCGUUCUUCAUACUGAGAGUUGCUCACAUUUUCAUACAAAGGAUAUAUAUUCUUGUUAUACUCCGGAACCAUGGCUUUAAGCUCAAACAAAGUGACUGGAAUUUCACCCAUCAGAUUGUUGUGUGCAAGGUCUAAGACAUGUAGGGAGCUUAAAUUUGAAAGCUGGGAGGGAAGUCUUCCAAAAAAUACAUUUGACCUCAAGUUGAGUAUUACAAGAUUUAUGAAAGCAAUUCCAAUCCAUGAAGGAACCUUACCCGAUAACUGGUUAUAACUGAGAUCAAGGAGUUCUAACCUUGAUAAAUUUUGGAAAGACGAGAGGAGCUCUCCUGAAAGCUUGUUGUCGUUCAGAUGCAAUGAUUUGAGCCAUUGUAACUGGCCCAAGGACUUUGGUAUCAUCCCAGAUAAAUUGUUAUUUCCAAGGUCAAGAACAAUUAGGCUAGAGCAAUUACCUAUGGUAUAAGGAAUGCUUCCAAUCAAAUUAUUCCUUGAAAAAUCAAUGACUUGAAGAGAGGUGAUGUGUCCUAUGGAAUCUGGGAUGGUCCCUGUUAUUUGAUUUUUCGAAAGCAAAAGGUGAUGCAUGUCUAACAUAGAUUCACCUUUGCUCAGUAGGAUAGGGCCAGAAAAUUUAUUGUAGGAGAGAUCUAGUGAAUAGACCCCUUUGAUUGAAAAAGGAAUAGGUCCCUCAAAGAGGUUGUGACUGAAAUCAAUAUAUGCAGAUUGAAAUUUUAAUGAAUUUGGUAGCUGACCUUGUAACUGAUUGUGAGAAAGAUUUAAGUACUGCAGAUUGAAAGAAAUAUUCCAAAACCACUUGGGUAUGGAACCUGAGAUGCUAGCAUUUGACAAAUCCAGCCAGGAGACCUCAUUUUGAGACCUAAGCCAAGUCGGGAAUGAAGGGCCUAAAUUGCAUGAAGCCAUAUAAAGAUCAGUGAGUUGGAAUGGGGGGACCCAGGUGGAACUAACAUUCAAAAUGAGACCAGAAUUUCCGCCCAUGAACAACAUCUUUAGCUUACUCAACUUUGAAAAAUGCUCUUCAGAAAGAAUUCCUGUCAAGGUAUUAAGAGUAUUAAAAUAAUUUCAUUUAUUUAUUUAUUUUAUGAAAAAUAAGAAAUUUCAAGAGAAAUGAAUUUUCAAAAAAUGUAUAAUAAAUCAAAUGAGUGGAAAAAAGAUAAUUUAAAAUAUUUUUUAAAAACAAGUGUUUACAUGGAAUCAAUAUAUACACAAUUACCAGAAGAAAAUUUUAAUGAAUUUGGUAGCUGACCUUGUAACUGAUUGUCAUAAAGAAUUAAGUCCUCCAGAUUGAAAGAAAUAUUCCAAAACCACUUGGGUAUGGAACCUGAGAUGCUAGCAUUUGACAAAUCCAGCCAGGAGACCUCAUUUUGAGACCUAAGCCAAGUCGGGAAUGAAGGGCCUAAAUUGCAUGAAGCCAUAUAAAGAUCAGUGAGUUGGAAUGGGGGGACCCAGGUGGAACUAACAUUCAAAAUGAGACCAGAAUUUCCGCCCAUGAACAACAUCUUUAGCUUACUCAACUUUGAAAAAUGCUCUUCAGAAAGAAUUCCUGUCAAGGUAUUAAGAGUAUUAAAAUAAUUUCAUUUAUUUAUUUAUUUUAUGAAAAAUAAGAAAUUUCAAGAGAAAUGAAUUUUCAAAAAAUGUAUAAUAAAUCAAAUGAGUGGAAAAAAGAUAAUUUAAAAUAUUUUUUAAAAACAAGUGUUUACAUGGAAUCAAUAUAUACACGAUUACCAGAAGAAAAUUUUAAUGAAUUUGGUAGCUGACCUUGUAACUGAUUGUCAUAAAGAAUUAAGUCCUCCAGAUUGAAAGAAAUAUUCCAAAACCACUUGGGUAUGGAACCUGAGAUGCUAGCAUUUGACAAAUCCAGCCAGGAGACCUCCUUUUGAGACCUAAGCCAAGUCGGGAAUGAAGGGCCUAAAUUGCAUGAACUCAUACCAAGAUCAGUGAUUUGGAAUUGGGGGACCCAGGUGGAACUAACAUUCAAAACGAGACCUGAAUUUUCAUCCAUCUGUAGAGUCUUCAGUUUACUUAACUUUGAAAAAUGUUCUUCAGAAAGAAUUCCAGUCAAGCGAUUAUAAGAAACAUCCAAGACAACCAAUUCAGAAAGUUGUCCAAAACUAACUGGGAGACUCCCAUUCAGUUCAUUCAUUUUAAGCCGCAUCUCAUUCAGAUCUUUGAAUGUCCCAAAAGAAGUAGGGAUAGGGCCUUGAAGCUUGUUGCCGGAUAGAUCGAGAUAUGUAAGUUUUUCCAGCUGACUCAAUCGUUCUGGCAAUCUGCCCACUAAUUGAUUCCAGGACAAGUCCAAAUACCUCAGUUUUGGUAAAGGACCUUCAAAACUGCAGUUUUUGAUCUCUUUGAGAAAUUCAGGGAAACUUCCUAUCAAGGUAUUGGCACCUAAAUCCAAAUGUUCUAAGUUGCAAAAAUUUCCGAUGGAGGUUGGAAUUGUACCUGCAAUCAUCAUCAAGAGUAUUAAAAUAAUUUGUUUUUAAUAAAUUGUUUUAUGAAAAAUAAGAAAGUUCACGAGAAAGGUAAGAAACUUUGCCUUCUUAAUGCAUUAUCAAAUGAACGAAGAAAAGAUAAUUUAAAAUAUUUUUAGAAACAAGUGUCUGCAUGGAAUAAAUUGAGAAUAUUGUUUUUAGAAAUUAAAGUUUCCAAACAAAAUUUUGUUUCAAAAUAUAAUAUAAUAUUUGUAAAAAUUAUUUUAAAAAUGUUUACAAGAAAACAAUUACAUUAUAAUAUUUGUAAAACUAUAAUAAAAAACUCAAAAAAUAAUUUUAGAAAACUAUUUUAAAAAUUGUUUACAACCAAAACCUAGAUUUUGUAGUGUAAUCUUUCAAAUACAUCAAAAGCCCUAAAAGGUCCCCUUUAUUGGUCAAUUGUGCAAUGAAUUUAUGACAAAUCAUGCAUCAUCAAGAGUUAAAAUAAUUUAAUUUAAAAUAUUUUUCAAAAAAAAAAAAAAAAGAGUUUAUGAGAAACAAAUUUGAUGAGUGGUGAGAAGAUAAUUGAAGUUGCUUUGAUGGUCUAAUGAUAAAAGUAAGAGAUUAUUGGAAAGUCAGAAUAAUUUAAUGCGAAAUAUUUUUUUAAAACAAGUGUUAAACUGUAAAACCACUACAUUAUUUUGAUGUAUCAAAAUCAAUAGGCAAUAAUAAUUUUUCUAAGCCAAAAACGUACCAAGAAAUUUAUUGAUUGCCAAAUUCAAAAAUUCUAUCUUCUUCCAACUUCCGCUUAACAGUUGAGAGCAACUACCUGUGAGAUUUUCAUUUGAAGAUAGAUCCAAGUGCUGCAAGUUAGGUAGUUCCCCAAGGGCAAGUGAAAUCUGCCCAUAUAACUUGUUAGAGCUUACAUCAAUGUAUACAAGGUUGCUAAGGUUUAGAAGCCAUAUUGGGAACUUUGACUGGAAAGAGUUGCCACUGAUGCUUAUGACAGACAAUGAAGUAAAAUUGAUAGAGUUUAGAGAUGAAAUGGAACCGGAGAGCCCACAAUCUUGUAGGUGCAACUCUGUUAAAAAUGAAAGCUUGUUGAAUACUUCCAUCCAGUGAGAUCCUACCAUUGAUAGGUCGACAUAGUUCAAUUUGAGAUGCCUUAAGGAAACAAGAUUAGUCAUCCAUUCAAGGUGCUUAACAAAUAAUUGAGAUUCAUAGGAAGAAAGAUCAAGAAAUUGCAAAUUAGAAAGGUUUCCCAAGGUUGGAGGAAUUGCACCUUUGAAUCCACAAUUUGAUAAGUUUAGAUAUUGUAAAUUUCUCAAAGAUCCGAAGAAUUUAGGAAUUGGGAUAUGCUCAAAUGAGUUGCCACUCAAAUCUAAAGAUCUCAAAGAUUUGAGUUCUAUCAAAGAAGGUCGAAUCUCCCCGCUUAAGUUCAUUGAACUCCAAUUUUCAUAUGCUUCUUCAAGAUAAUAUGGGUUAUGAAGAUCGAUUGAAAUAACAACUCCUGUGUUAUUUUCACAACCAAUUCCCUCCCAUUGACAACAAUUGCCUCCUAUCCAUGAUGAAAG
This 39005-nucleotide long non-coding RNA is filed under the name Vitis vinifera (wine grape). RNAcentral describes it as "long non-coding RNA (VVIN_LNC003022)". The record is from RNAcentral. Lineage: Eukaryota; Viridiplantae; Streptophyta; Magnoliopsida; Vitales; Vitaceae.